UGUUCUUGCGAACUCGUUUUACGUCAUCUUUCAUUACCCAAGUACGUUCCAAUCCAAAGAACACAAGACACAAGUCACCAGAGCCCGUUUACUAAUAAUAAUGUCUUAUUAGACAUUCUCUGAACUCAUCAAGAACACCAAAAAUACCCGGAAGUGUUCUUGAUCCGCAACUUUUAUCGAGGAUGCAUCGGAUGGUGACUUAGCGAGAACGCAUGAUUUCCCAGAAGUCAUUGCAAUAACACGCGUCUCAAAUCUUUCUCCGUCCUCGCGUUCUUGCUAGACCGUUCUCGCAAGACGCCUAGCAAGAACGUUCUUCUCAAGAACGCAAGUACGUUAGCAUUGAUAAACAGCCCAACUUGGCCAGCGAGAACGCAACUGAUUUCACAGAAGUCAUUGCAAGAUGUCAGGAGAGGCGGACAAACAUAACUGGUCUGCUGAGGAGAUUACAGCCCUCAUUGAGUGGAGGGGGGCGAAUGAGUCUCUCUUCACUGGGAAGAGAAACUCAUCAAAAUCGGGAUGGGAAGCCUUUGUGAAUCAGGCAGAGUUUCAAAUUACAGACAAACAAGCUAAGAAAAAAUGGAACAACUUGAAAGAAAAAUACAAGGAGCUGAGGGACCCACCCUCAGGGAAAGGGGCGGAGGCAGGGGGGGUCACAGGGGGGGUCACUGCUGCCACCUGGCAGUGGUUUGCCUCAAUGGAUGUAGCACUCCGGGAACAGCAUUCUAUUAAUCCACCUCUGGUAGUUGCUGCAAACAUGACAUCCGCUGCAGGUGGUGAUGUGGCCUCCUCUGCCCCUGCCAGGAAGAGAGCUAAGCCAGUGCCAAGGAAGAGGGCAUGUGAACUCCUGGAUUUCUUGAGAAUGCAGGCGGAGAAAGAAGAGGAGAGAGAGAGCCAGGCUCUUCAAAGGGAAGAGGAGAGGGAGAGGGCAGCAGCUGCCAGAAGCGAAAAAUUCCUCUCACUUUUUGAAAAAUUGGUUGACAAAAUAUAAUAAAUAAAAACUUCUGAUUAGUAAGGUUUAUGAUUAUUACACAAGACAGUUAAUAACCUCCUACAUUCAGCACUGACAGAACAUGUGUAUUGCUGAGAAGGGAACACCACAGCAAUGCCAAGGGUCUCAAAAUGGAUUUGGCAUAAAAAAUUACUUCAUUCAAUAGUGUAAAUAAGAUAAUACACUAAUUUACAAACAUUUAUUGUAAAGAAGCAAUAAUUAAAUAGGCUAUAUAUGAAAGCAAACCAAAUAAUAGAAAAUAUGACACAUUCAAAGUUUACCCCUCGCCCUACUUGGCACAGUCUUGUGUUUUUAUCCCCUGAAUGUAAUCAUGCUCCUGCAGAGAUGCAUGUAGUUCUGUAGGAGCAGAAAGAUGUGCAGCCAGUCUAGCCCGGAGGUUGUUGCCAGACACCUCCUGUUCCUCUGCGCAGUCCUCUGGAUUGUCACCCUCUUCCUCAUGCUGAGGAUGGUCCACCUCAAAGAUGUCGUCCACAGAGACACAAAGGUUGUGGAGAACGCAGCAGGCAGCAACCACCUUGGGGACAAACAGAGGACGCACUUCCAGAGCACUCAGAAAGAUGGAUCUCCAGCGAGUUUUCAGCAUGCCAAAAGUGCGCUCAAUUACGCACCUUGCUUUGGCAUGGUGGCUGUUGAACCGGGCCUCAACAUGUCCUGGUGGUACACAUAAUGGUGUAGAAAUGUUAUACGGUUACAUUAUUUGGUAGUGUUGUUUUUUACUGUGUUAUUUAUGUGUUUGUGCAGGUGUUGGCAACUUUGGAUUUAGGUGCAGUAAAUAUCCCUACCAGCUAUAGGCUGUCGAAACGGGGUGACGACAGCCACAGGAUUCUGCAGGCAUGGAUAUCCACCAUCUCCAAGGAGGAAAUAACCAGCCGGGGGAUAAAGGGACUCCUUGAACAUUGGGGAUCUCCGCAGGACAAGGGCAUCGUGGACAGAACUUGUGUUGCCAAUCAGGUGGACCGAUUCUGAUGUGGCACCCAUCAAUGGCUCCUGCAGCGAAGCGGAAGGCUUCAUGGCCGGCCAGGUGAGCAAAUCCUGCCCCCACCCCCUCCAUCUCAUCGGCCUUGGGGAAAUUGAUGAUGCGGUGAAGGAUUGUCAUCAUUUCCUCUACCACGUGGUGUACAGCUCUGCACACUGUAGCCACUGGCAUAGAAAAGGCAUUGGAUGUCACACGGACCUGGACCAGCAGUUGGAUGGUGGCCCUGGCGAGCCUGAAGGCUGGUUUGGUGUCUUCAUCCGAGAAGACUAUCUUGAUGAUGGACACUUGGUAAUUUACUUGAGCAUAGUUCUGUGGAGUUCCAUCCUAUUUAAAAAUAAAAUGAGAGAUAAAAGUUCACAAUUUUGUUCAAUAAAAGGUUUUA
This is a long non-coding RNA of Osmerus eperlanus (European smelt), 2367 nucleotides long. RefSeq lists it as uncharacterized. The record is from RefSeq and is a predicted model, not a curated record. The transcript has 6 exons. Lineage: Eukaryota; Metazoa; Chordata; Actinopteri; Osmeriformes; Osmeridae.